RNAcentral lists this unclassified non-coding RNA (345 nucleotides) under soil metagenome. RNAcentral's name for it is "partial contains 5.8S ribosomal RNA, internal transcribed spacer 2, and large subunit ribosomal RNA". The stretch from base 1 to 120 matches the Rfam family "5.8S ribosomal RNA", at positions 35 to 154 of the family's 154-position model. The record is from RNAcentral.
GAUGAAGAACGUAGCGAAAUGCGAUACGUAAUGUGAAUUGCAGAAUUCAGUGAAUCAUCGAGUCUUUGAACGCACAUUGCGCCCCCUGGUAUUCCGUGGGGCAUGCCUGUCCGAGCGUCAUUGCUGCCCUCAAGCACGGCUUGUGUGUUGGGCCUCCGUCCUCCUCCCGGGGGACGGGCCCGAAAGGCAGCGGCGGCACCGCGUCCGGUCCUCGAGCGUAUGGGGCUUCGUCACCCGCUCUUGUAGGCCCGGCCGGCGCUUGCCGACACAUCAAUCUUUUUUCCAGGUUGACCUCGGAUCAGGUAGGGAUACCCGCUGAACUUAAGCAUAUCAAUAAGCGGAGGA